GGCGAUAAAAAACACUCUUCUCUGAUAUAUGAUGUGUUUAUUAUUUAUUUGCUUAUUAUAAAAGGUCCCCAAGUUCCCUGCUGGGGGAGUUCAUUUAUUUUGUAUGCAAAAAAAGAAAAAAAAAAGAAAGAAAGGGGGGAGAGGAAAAAAAAUCAUCCCCAAGUAUAACAAGAGACGAACAGUUAGUGCUGAUUUUCAUUUGCAUAAAUUUUCAUAUAUUUUAGUGAAAAUAAUAGCGGGAGCCGAGGAGUGCUCCUGCUCAGUUGAGGCAGAGGAAAGAAAAUCUUAGGGAGCACCGAGUCGUAGGAAAGGGAGAUAACCAUUUACAGGCUCCAAAUGAACAAUGCGAAGUUAUUUCCCUUUUCUUGGACACAAGGAGAGCCACAGUCCCCUGUUGCACACACACAUCCAGACACACACACACACCAAACUUUGGUGCUAACGUGACACCCCUUCUUGUCCCCCAUCCUUCCCCCAUGACGCACAACCUCUGGAGGUAAGGGCCUGAGCCGGUUGUGUGAAUGUGUGUGUGCUCGCACCGUCUCUCUCCCCCAGCAAAAGCGGACACGCCGUCUCCCCAGCUUCCGCUUUCCUCUGCAUGCCUGCUGCUGCUGGAGUAUUCACGCUUCAGGCUGUUUUCUUUGAGAGAGAGAGAGAGGGAGAGAGAGGGAGACAGAGUAUAAAAAUAUGCAAAUGCUAUUGUUGAAGCGCAGAACGAAGGAGGGGAGGGCGCUCCUUUUACACCCCCUCACCUCCCCUGUCGCUGCUGCUGCUGCCACCGUUACCGCUUCCACCUCCAUCCAUCCAUCCUUCCAACCAUCCAACUAACCAACCAGUGUUAGGAGAGGGAGUGAGAGCACCAAGAAAGAGAGAGAGAGUGGGGGGGGGAUCUCAGGUUUGACUUGACAACAGGGGCAGGAUAUUAAAAAAUAUGCUGAAAGGCCACCAUUGUCUGUUUCAGCUGAGGCCGUUUUCCAGAACUACACACAUGUACACAAACAUACAUAUAUUUCUAUACACACACAGAAAAACACACAGGCAGAGAGGGAGAUGGAGACGUGCAGCUAUUGAGAUAAUGAAAUCCAUCACACAAACCACAAAGACCUACAAAUGUUCCUAAGAGAGGGAGAGAGAGCAAGUCGGAGGACUUCAUCAUGCUCUGUACAUUAUAUAAGCAUGAGACUAAACACAAUCUGAUAAUGCUUUAUAUUACAGCCCACUACAUACAGUACAAUUAAUCCCAACUCACAGUUGUCGCACUAGUGUAGUACUAAAGCUGAACAAUACCUACUUGUAGGUAUAACGGAAGAAGAUAUUUUUAGGGAGUAAUGAGGGAACAACAGAAGCUGCACAGCAACAAGAUGAUGAUGGGCAAAACACAAAGUUCCUUUCAUCAAAUCGGGUAUUUAAGAACUAUUAAUGGCACUUUGGUGUGAGGAAAGGCCUGAGAAGAUAACCAGCAAACUUUAUUGUGAACAGUUGCUUCUGACAAUUUAUAGUGGUCAUGCUAACGUGACUUUACCCCUAAAACAUGGACAAAAUCCUCCCAACCGACAAUCCAUCGAUGUCAUGCACUCGCUUGGUUGUUUCAACACAUGAUGCAAAUUUUAAAAUGGUUUAACCCUCUAAACCCCAGGCAGUUUCUGAGCAUUUGUUUUGUUGUUGGUCCUGCCGCAUUUGCACUCAGUGUGGUCUAAUUUUUCACUGCAACAUCAAAACCUGCACCUCAAUAGAAACAGCACAACCCUGGCAACAAGGAGCGAGAAAUCCAUAAUCUCUUCUGUGAUAUUAUAAUAAACUAAUCACGUCAUAAAUAAGAAAAAACUUAUUAAUUUAUUUUAAAAAUGAGAAAAACCUGGAAUCAGCAUGUAACACAUAUUUCCAAAGUGUUUUCAUACUUGUCUCAGUUCUGUUGAAACACUGCCUGCAGUUCAGUCCAGUCCAGUUGAUAUGUCAUUACGUUUUUUUUCAUGUGACCAGUCACUAAUGACUUCUCAGUUUUGCUAAGGCGUGCAAAUUUUUUGGUAUUUUACAGAAUUAGGUUACGACAAUUUAUUUAUUUUUGAUGUCUUUUUUAAAAAAGAUUUUGAGAAAAAACUACGACUUCAGGCUUAUGUUUCAUUACAUAGACGAGCAGUUCAAGGACAAUCAUCCAGUUGAAAAUCUCGCAAUUCUUUAUGCUCUUGCACUUUAUUGCUCUGAUAAGCAGUCUCAUUUUGGUGCAGUUUCACAGAUAGCAUGCCUUUUGGGGUUCAGAAGGUUAAGUACAAGUAAUCUGCCUUGUAAUUGUGUUUGACCGGGCCUUUAAGAUGCGCCACAGUGGAAAACAAGCUUACAGUUUUUAUAGUAGUAUAAAUGGGUGACUGUUCCACCCUUGUUCCCUAAACCUCAGCUCCUGCUUUCUUAUAAUUAUGUAUUGGUAUGUGCUGUGCUAGUAUGCUAAACAUACAAUGUAAAUUUGUAUUAAUUGUGCUGUAGCAGGCUGAAGAAACAGAGAAAGGGAUAAAAAUUGUGGACUUAUAGUGAAGCUGUGCAUACAGGUGUUUUCACCUCUGGGAAAACAGAUCUUGGCUCAAGUUAAAGGUGGGACUACAUUGCUGUGCUUCGUUAUGUCAUGUUGUACACUUCAGUAAAUCUUGUUGCCAGUUUGCAUGCUGAAGAAGGGCGUCUGUCCAGAACAUGCCUGCAUGAAUUCAUCAAUUAAUAGUUGUGCUGUUCCGUUCCGCUGAUUAUUUGCUGUAUUAAAUGCAAAAACAGCCUAAUGACAAUCUGCAUAUAUCACAUGGUGUAUAUAAUUAGUUUCUAGUGUGAAUUUGGGAUACAACAGUUAGCAGACACCUGCAAAAAGACCUUCUAACUAUCGAAUAACUCACAUCAAACUGCCCUGUAUGGCAUAUAAUAGUUAUAAUUUAUGAACAAAGCUUUUGAUACGACUAUUUGUACUUUUAGCCAGGAUGUACAUCUUCAGUACCAUAACAGCACACAAAAAAACAUCAGGGUAGACAAGACGUAUUGAUUUCCCUUACUUUUUUCCACACACUCUUUGCAAAAGAAAGAAAUAGAGAAGGAGACAAUCACGCAUAUACAAAGAACGAAAACACACACAACCCUACACAGACCAACACACACCCUCAGAAAGCGAGAGAGAGAAUAUGUGUGUGAAAGUGGGAAGCCCAUUUGUAAAGCCCUCACGCUCUCAGGAAGACUUUUUGAAGUGAUUAUGAAGACAGUUCAGAUCAAAGGAUUUGACAAGUCUGAGUGCGCGCCAAAUAUGAGGCCGGGUAAUCACACUGAAGCCCCUCCAUACAAGAUGGCUGUGGUCCCCCCAGCUGCUUUGCAAAUGUAAUGUGACACUUACGGAUAAACAGAUUAUCAAGAAAUGGAGAGGUGGGGUUGGGUGAAGGGACCAGGAAUAAAUAAAAAAAAGAAAUAAAAAAAGAAA
This is a long non-coding RNA of Amphiprion ocellaris (clown anemonefish), 3442 nucleotides long. RefSeq lists it as uncharacterized. The record is from RefSeq and is a predicted model, not a curated record. The transcript has 2 exons. NCBI's taxonomy places the organism in Eukaryota, Metazoa, Chordata, Actinopteri, Pomacentridae.